RNAcentral lists this ribosomal RNA (305 nucleotides) under uncultured bacterium. Its description in RNAcentral is "bacterial SSU rRNA". It matches the Rfam family "Bacterial small subunit ribosomal RNA", at positions 337 to 634 of the family's 1533-position model. The record is from RNAcentral.
GCCUACGGGGCGCAGCAGUAGGGAAUCUUCGGCAAUGGGCGAAAGCCUGACCGAGCAACGCCGCGUGAAUGAAGAAGGCCUUCGGGUUGUAAAAUUCUGUUCUAAGGGAAGAAAGGUGAUAGGAGGAAAUGACUAUCAAUUGACGGUACCUUAUGAGAAAGCCACGGCUAACUACGUGCCAGCAGCCGCGGUAAUACGUAGGUGGCAAGCGUUAUCCGGAAUUAUUGGGUGUAAAGGGAGCGUAGACGGCAUAGCAAGUCUGAAGUGAAAGCCCGUGGCUCAACCGCGGAACUGCUUUGGAAACU